UUGUUGGUGGCUGAAAAAAAGCAAUGGACUGUAGAUCCAUUUAUGGAACAUUUUAUUCCUCAACGAA
RNAcentral lists this transfer RNA (67 nucleotides) under Pygmaeconus traillii. RNAcentral's name for it is "tRNA-Tyr". It matches the Rfam family "tRNA". Rfam says of the family: Transfer RNA (tRNA) molecules are approximately 80 nucleotides in length. Their secondary structure includes four short double-helical elements and three loops (D, anti-codon, and T loops). The record is from RNAcentral. Lineage: Eukaryota; Metazoa; Mollusca; Gastropoda; Neogastropoda; Conidae.